UCUCUGUUAUUUCAUUUGUUGUUUGCAUCAGAGAAAAGCAAAGGAUAUAAAAUAGCCACACUUAAGCCUAAUGAAGUAAUCGCAUGAAGGGCUUGUAAGAUAAUUGAAGGAUAUUAUUUCUUUUUGUACAGAUUUGAAUGAUUCCACCACCGAAUCCCCUCAAAGCCUCAGGAAUGCCACGCGCUCCUCUGAGAAUACAACCCUGGUGCAUCGUAACCUGUCCUUCAGCAUCACAGACCAGCCAAUAUCAGUUACCAGAGGGAACGUUUUCUUUACUACCAGCAGUCUGCUCAAUAGUACUGGUGGCACGAAGAACACAAAAGCCAGUCGCUUCCCUUGGCCGACAGUGGUAGCCGUCCUGCUCCUCUUCUGCAGUUUACUAAUAGCUUUAGGCAUCAGGAAAUGGUGUCAGUACCAGAAAGAGAUUAUGAACAGACCUCCAUCUUUCAAGCCACCACCACCCCCGAUAAAGUACGCCUCCAUGGUGGAGUCUGAUGGGACCCCCCCGUCCUGCCACGAACUGGAGAACCUGUAACAGCUUACACCCCUUGUGCAGCGCGCAGAAGACUGACACCGUUAAAAGGCUCUGUGUUUGAAACCGUGAUUACAGAAGUUUGGUGUUAAUGACCCAUAUUAAAUUCAGAGAGCCUAAAAUGACAUUAAUGUUGGAAGCUGAGCACUCCUGAGGACAUUUACUUCAUCCUGUCUGUCUCUAUGUAUGCAUUACGCUAACACCAUUGUGAGUGUCACCAGGAGAUUACACGUACUUAAUUUGAAUGGGGUGAUCAACUGGGAAUUUGCUGUCUUGUUAAUGGGAGCAGAUUAACACAUCACUCCGCCAGCCUGCCUGAAGAGUGUUGAAGCUUUUUGUUUUACUGAGUGUAUAGAGAGGACUGCUCUGCCGUAUGGAUGCCACAAUUACACGGGAAAGGUUCACUUAAUGUAAGGUUUUUCAUACCUGCAGGAGCCGUUCUUACAACGAAUAUUUUUUACUAUACACAUCUUGACUAAUAUGACCCAAUAUGUAAUUUCCUAUCACUGUGACACCAAACAAAAUUUAUCAGCACCUUACACAGAAGAAAAUACCCUGCAUCUGUCAUCACCGGGGUUGCAGCACAGGAUCACGGGGAGGGGCUGGUAAGAUGAAAGGGCACAGUGUGGGCCUGGUGGAUGUGUUCAUGAAGAAAAUUCAGUUGCCGUUGGCGAAGUCACGGGAACAAGUCAACUUUGGAUUCAUGUACAAACCGCCUGAGGACCAGAGACUUAAGGACUGAAGUGAAUAAAGACCCUAAAGAUAAUGGAAAAUGCCA
Molecule: long non-coding RNA, 1310 nt
Filed under: Calidris pugnax (ruff)
Lineage: Eukaryota; Metazoa; Chordata; Aves; Charadriiformes; Scolopacidae
Description: lncRNA (ENSCPUG00000004251.1)
Source: RNAcentral